This 640-nucleotide ribosomal RNA is filed under the name uncultured Bacteroidota bacterium. RNAcentral describes it as "bacterial SSU rRNA". It matches the Rfam family "Bacterial small subunit ribosomal RNA", at positions 8 to 637 of the family's 1533-position model. Lineage: Bacteria; Pseudomonadati; Bacteroidota. The record is from RNAcentral.
AGAGUUUGAUCCUGGCUCAGGAUGAACGCUAGCUACAGGGCUUAACACAUGCAAGUCGAGGGGCAGCAUGAACUUAGCUUGCUAAGUUUGAUGGCGACCGGCGCACGGGUGAGUAACACGUAUCCAACCUGCCGAUGACUCGGGGAUAGCCUUUCGAAAGAAAGAUUAAUACCCGAUGGCAUAGUUCUUCCGCAUGGUAGAACUAUUAAAGAAUUUCGGUCAUCGAUGGGGAUGCGUUCCAUUAGGUUGUUGGCGGGGUAACGGCCCACCAAGCCUUCGAUGGAUAGGGGUUCUGAGAGGAAGGUCCCCCACAUUGGAACUGAGACACGGUCCAAACUCCUACGGGAGGCAGCAGUGAGGAAUAUUGGUCAAUGGACGAGAGUCUGAACCAGCCAAGUAGCGUGAAGGAUGACUGCCCUAUGGGUUGUAAACUUCUUUUAUACGGGAAUAAAGUGAGGCACGUGUGCCUUUUUGUAUGUACCGUAUGAAUAAGGAUCGGCUAACUCCGUGCCAGCAGCCGCGGUAAUACGGAGGAUCCGAGCGUUAUCCGGAUUUAUUGGGUUUAAAGGGAGCGUAGAUGGAUGUUUAAGUCAGUUGUGAAAGUUUGCGGCUCAACCGUAAAAUUGCAGUUGAUACUGGA